AGUUUUGAAGCAGCUGUGGCUGUGCAUGAAAGUUCAAGUUCGAGUGAUAAGAUAACUGAUAAAAGUUCAAAGUUUGAGUGAAUUAUGAAUUAUUAUUAUUAUUUGAAAUAGUGUAUGAUUUCGUGUAUUAUAAUAAUGUUUAAUUGUUGUGUACCUACAGCAGAUUUGAGGGAAAGACUUCUCUUUUAGUGUAUGUAAAUGAAGUGAGAUAUCUUGUCUCUGCAGUCAGCAAUAAAGAUUGAUAUUUGGAUCUUACUUUCCAGCAAAUGCAAAUUUCAUUCAACUUCCAGCGUUUUCUUGAGGUCGUUAAAAUGUCACCAAAAUGUAAAACUGCUGAAAAAUCGAUAUUAAGAAUGGAUGAUUAUUUUUCACCUACUGAAACUGAAAGGACUCGUCCAAAACCCGAUGGAGAAAAAGUGAAACUAAACAUAAGAAAAAAAUCAUUGAAAAAAGAAAAAAAGCUGCAGUUGAAGCCUCCAAAGCCAUCACCAUAUCGAUCAAGCUCAAAGAAGAAUACCCAUCUGAUGAAUUUAGAAAUCCGUCGUCGAAACGAAUCACGCUUUUAGAAAGGUCUUUAGAAAAUUAGAAUGACCGAGUGAAAUCAAAAGAAAGACGUUGAAUCAAAUCAGCGCAAUAUUUGCUUUGUGCCCCAGCCGAUGAUGAUUGAUUAUCGAGUCGAAGAUCUGGAUGUAUCAUUAUUGGAACCAUUUCCACAAUCACCGCCUAUGUUACUGGAUGAAUGAUUGGAGGAUGUUCGAGUCAAAUAUGUUUAUUGUAAUGAUCAAGGCUUUUCAGAAGAAUUAUUUUUUAAGAUUACCUUGAAUAAGAAGAAUGGUGGCACAGUUAUCAAGAAUCGCUAGAUCAAGAAAAAUAUAAUAUUUAUUUACGAACUAAAAUGAUGAUCAAGAAUUUAUGUAUUUUCUGUGCAAGUAAAAAAUUAUUCAAACGAUGAAUAGUUCGUGGAUUUUGUGUCAGGUUACAUUUGUUCAGAGGGAGGCUAUGAUUAUUUGCGAUAUUUUAAUUAAAAUGUUUCAUCACUGUGCAUGACUGUAUCGAAUGUAGAUAACGUACGUAUUGUUUAGAAACCUCGUUCUGGUGUUCACAUUUUUCUUCUGGGUAGCAAACUACGUUACAAAAAUUUAUAUUUUUUGUUACCUGAUUUUUUUUCUCUUGGUUCAUAUGUAGGUAUAGUUCACGAAAUAAAUACCUGCUUAAUUUGACGUAAAUUUAAUUUAAGAACAGUUAUAAUUGGUAAAAUAUCGUAUGCAAUUGUUUUUGUACUGAAUAUAUUUUUUUUAAAUCCUACUUGGAGAUAUCAGAGAAAUAAUAAAAACUUUCGAUGAAAUUUA
Molecule: long non-coding RNA, 1349 nt
Organism: Planococcus citri (citrus mealybug)
Lineage: Eukaryota; Metazoa; Arthropoda; Insecta; Hemiptera; Pseudococcidae
Exons: 5
Source: RefSeq, a predicted model, not a curated record